This is a long non-coding RNA of Clupea harengus (Atlantic herring), 462 nucleotides long. RefSeq lists it as uncharacterized. The transcript has 3 exons. The record is from RefSeq and is a predicted model, not a curated record. Lineage: Eukaryota; Metazoa; Chordata; Actinopteri; Clupeiformes; Clupeidae.
CCACAGGCCCUACUGAAAUAACUCUGUGAGAAAGGAUCAAAACUGGAUAAUGGAGAACUUAAGCUCUUGGAGGAGAGAUAUGAGGCAAACAUAGCAGAACUUAGAGAACAAAAAGCUGCAAGACCAUAUCGACGAUUGUGUGACUUCUCAGCACCACAAAGAGCAAGAAAAUGAAGAUAUGAAGGUGAGAAUUGUUUUUAUUUAAAUGUAUUGUUUUUUUUAUUAGGUCAUUGGUUCAUUCUCCUUCGCCUUUUCCUUCUCGUCACUCUGCCUGUCGAAACUUUUCUGCUUUAGGUGUUAGCCAGAAAGAGAAUGCACAAACUACAGACAUAUGUCGAGUCCUACCAGAAUGAGAACGCCACUUUGAAGAACCAGGUUGAAAAUGUGAGUUCUGAUGGACGUAAUAGUUGAGGAACACAUUUUCAAAAUUAAAUAGAAUUUUAAAAGAUGUCGUUGGACAAA